RNAcentral lists this ribosomal RNA (253 nucleotides) under uncultured bacterium. Its description in RNAcentral is "partial 16S ribosomal RNA". It matches the Rfam family "Bacterial small subunit ribosomal RNA", at positions 524 to 776 of the family's 1533-position model. The record is from RNAcentral.
GACGAACCUCGCGAACGAUGUACGGAAUCACUGGGCUUAAAGGGCGCGUGGGCGGGUUGUCAAGUCCGGGGUGAAAUCCUCCAGCUCAACUGGAGAACUGCCUCGGAUACUGACGGUCUCGAGGGAGGUAGGGGCACGCGGAACUGUGGGUGGAGCGGUGAAAUGCGUUGAUAUCCAUAGGAACUCCGGUGGCGAAGGCGGCGUGCUGGACCUUUUCUGACGCUGAGGCGCGAAAGCCAGGGGAGCAAACGGG